AGGACGAACGCUGGCGGCGUGCUUAAUACAUGCAAGUCGAACGAGGUCCAUUUGGUGGCAACACCAAAGAAGACCUAGUGGCGAACGGGUGCGUAACACGUGAGCAACCUGCCCCGAAGACUGGGAUAACAGCGGGAAACUGCUGCUAAUACCAGAUGCCCCCACGGAUUCGCAUGGAUCUGUGAGGAAAGGAUUCUGCUUCGGGAGGGGCUCGCGGCCUAUCAGCUUGUUGGUGAGGUAACGGCCCACCAAGGCGACGACGGGUAGCUGGUCUGAGAGGACGAUCAGCCACACUGGGACUGAGACACGGCCCAGACUCCUACGGGAGGCAGCAGUAGGGAAUCUUGCGCAAUGGGCGAAAGCCUGACGCAGCAACGCCGCGUGGGGAUGAAGGCCUUCGGGUUGUAAACUCCUUCAGUGGGAACGAAACUGACGGUACCACGAGAAGAAGCCCGGCUAACUACGCGCCAGCAGCCGCGGU
This 481-nucleotide ribosomal RNA is filed under the name uncultured bacterium. Its description in RNAcentral is "SSU rRNA". It matches the Rfam family "Bacterial small subunit ribosomal RNA", at positions 26 to 521 of the family's 1533-position model. The record is from RNAcentral.